RNAcentral lists this ribosomal RNA (751 nucleotides) under uncultured archaeon. Its description in RNAcentral is "bacterial SSU rRNA". It matches the Rfam family "Archaeal small subunit ribosomal RNA", at positions 88 to 841 of the family's 1478-position model. The record is from RNAcentral.
GCUCAGUAACACGUGGACAACGUACCCCAAUGUGGAGCAUAAUCUCGGGAAACUGAGGAUGAUUCUCCAUCCACCAUGAGAUCUGGAAUGACUUAUGGUUCAAAGUUCCGGCGCUUUAGGAUCGGUCUGCGGCCUAUCAGGUAGUAGUGGGUGUAACGUACCCCCUAGCCGUUGACGGGUAUGGGCCUUGAGAGAGGGAGCCCAGAGUUGGAUUCUGAGACACGAAUCCAGGCCCUACGGGGCGCAGCAGUCGCGAAAACUUCACAAUGGGCGAAAGCCCGAUGAGGGAAUUCCUAGUGCUAGCACUUUUGUGCUAGCUUUUCUUCAGCGUAGAUAACUGGAGGAAUAAGGGCUGGGUAAGACGGGUGCCAGCCGCCGCGGUAAUACCCGCAGCCCGAGUGGUGGUCGAUUUUAUUGAGUCUAAAACGUUCGUAGCCGGUCUAAUAAAUCCUUGGGUAAAUCGGAAGGCUUAACUUUCCGAAUUCCGAGGAGACUGUUAGGCUUGGGAUCGGGAGAGGUAAGAGGUACUUCAGGGGUAGGGGUAAAAUCCUGUAAUCCUUGGAGGACCACCGGUGGCGAAGGCGUCUUACUAGAACGAAUCCGACGGUGAGGGACGAAGCCCUAGGUCGCAAACGGGAUUAGAUACCCCGGUAGUCUAGGGUGUAAACGCUGCAGACUUGGUGUUGGGGGCCCUUCGGGGGCAUUCAGUGCCGGAGAGAAGUUGUUAAGUCUGCUACUUGGGGAGUGCGUC